This 532-nucleotide ribosomal RNA is filed under the name bacterium enrichment culture clone Cont185_3130. Its description in RNAcentral is "bacterial SSU rRNA". It matches the Rfam family "Bacterial small subunit ribosomal RNA", at positions 8 to 525 of the family's 1533-position model. The record is from RNAcentral.
AGAGUUUGAUCAUGGCUCAGGACGAACGCUGGCGGCGUGCUUAACACAUGCAAAGUCGAACGGUGAUGAUGGGGGCUUGCCCUGUCUGAUCAGUGGCGAACGGGUGAGUAACACAUGAGUAACCUGCCCCUGACUCUGGGAUAACCCCGGGAAAUCGGAGCUAAUACCGGAUACGAGACGUACAGGCAUCUGUUGCGUCUGGAAAGAAUUUCGGUCGGGGAUGGGCUCGCGGCCUAUCAGCUAGUUGGUGGGGUAGUGGCCUACCAAGGCGACGACGGGUAGCCGGCCUGAGAGGGCGACCGGCCACACUGGGACUGAGACACGGCCCAGACUCCUACGGGAGGCAGCAGUGAGGAAUCUUGCGCAAUGGGGGAAACCCUGACGCAGCCACGCCGCGUGGGUGAAGAAGGUCUUCGGAUCGUAAAGCCCUGUCAGGUGGGAAGAACCCGCAGUCGGGGUGAAUAAUCUGGGCUGCCUGACGGUACCACCAAAGGAAGCACCGGCUAACUCCGUGCCAGCCGCCGCGGUAAUA